This 558-nucleotide ribosomal RNA is filed under the name Stenotrophomonas sp. Its description in RNAcentral is "bacterial SSU rRNA". It matches the Rfam family "Bacterial small subunit ribosomal RNA", at positions 94 to 648 of the family's 1533-position model. Lineage: Bacteria; Pseudomonadati; Pseudomonadota; Gammaproteobacteria; Lysobacterales; Lysobacteraceae. The record is from RNAcentral.
AGUGGCGGACCGGUGAGGAAUACAUCGGAAUCUACUUUUUCGUGGGGGAUAACGUAGGGAAACUUACGCUAAUACCGCAUACGACCUACGGGUGAAAGCAGGGGAUCUUCGGACCUUGCGCGAUUGAAUGAGCCGAUGUCGGAUUAGCUAGUUGGCGGGGUAAAGGCCCACCAAGGCGACGAUCCGUAGCUGGUCUGAGAGGAUGAUCAGCCACACUGGAACUGAGACACGGUCCAGACUCCUACGGGAGGCAGCAGUGGGGAAUAUUGGACAAUGGGCGCAAGCCUGAUCCAGCCAUACCGCGUGGGUGAAGAAGGCCUUCGGGUUGUAAAGCCCUUUUGUUGGGAAAGAAAUCCAGCUGGUUAAUACCCGGUUGGGAUGACGGUACCCAAAGAAUAAGCACCGGCUAACUUCGUGCCAGCAGCCGCGGUAAUACGAAGGGUGCAAGCGUUACUCGGAAUUACUGGGCGUAAAGCGUGCGUAGGUGGUUGUUUAAGUCUGUUGUGAAAGCCCUGGGCUCAACCUGGGAACUGCAGUGGAAACUGGACGACUAGAGUG